Molecule: ribosomal RNA, 361 nt
Filed under: Anaplasma bovis
Lineage: Bacteria; Pseudomonadati; Pseudomonadota; Alphaproteobacteria; Rickettsiales; Anaplasmataceae
Description: bacterial SSU rRNA
Rfam family: Bacterial small subunit ribosomal RNA
Source: RNAcentral
AAUCUACCUAGUAGUAUAGGAUAGCCACUAGAAAUGGUGGGUAAUACUGUAUAAUCCCUGCGGGGGAAAGAUUUAUCGCUACAUGAUGAGCCUAUGUUAGAUUAGCUAGUUGGUGGGGUAAUGGCCUACCAAGGCAGUGAUCUAUAGCUGGUCUGAGAGGAUGAUCAGCCACACUGGAACUGAGACACGGUCCAGACUCCUACGGGAGGCAGCAGUGGGGAAUAUUGGACAAUGGGCGCAAGCCUGAUCCAGCUAUGCCGCGUGAGUGAGGAAGGCCUUAGGGUUGUAAAACUCUUUCAGUGGGGAAGAUAAUGACGGUACCCACAGAAGAAGUCCCGGCAAACUCCGUGCGAGCGGCCGC